GCGGGACCGAGCUGUCCGCGAGCGGCGAAGCGCGGGCCCCGGGCGCGGCGGGGAGCGCGCGAGGAGACGAGCGCCCGGCGCAGGAACCAGAGGCCGCCGGGGUUCACCGGCUGCCGCCGCGAUGAGCGGCGCCUGGGUUCGGGCUCGGCCUGCCGCCCGCCGGCUUCUCCUCCAGCCCCGGAGCACGAGCCCGACCGCCCCGGAUCGCGCCGCUCUGAGACUUCGGGUCCUGCUGCUGCUGAGCUCGGCUGCGGGCUCGAACUCGCCCGGGUGAUGGCAGAAGGCGUGGAGCUGUGCAGUGCUCCAGCCCACCGUCUCUGGAUCGUUGGCGCCAGUUACUGUUCUGUGCUCGGAGACCCUGUGACCUCCUUGCGGUGGAACAGAAACUAAAAGCUCAGUACAAACUGCUUCUCCAGUGGCGCUUUCUGGGCGUGCGUCUUGGUGGCUGGCAAGGUGGAGGAGUGAAGGGCGGCGAGGCAAGAUCGGAGUAACUCUCCCCGGGAGAGAUGCGGAACGGAAUGGGUAGACCCUCGCUUCAAGUGAUGCCAGAACCUGUGCCGCGUUGCUGAGAUUUCCAACUGCGUGUUGAGGACUAAAGCUGUAAGACUCAGAAAGACUGGUGUGGGUAGUUAGGCUGUGGAUUCCUGUGUUGAGAGUAAAGGACGCAUAGAAGAACGGGAGAGUCAAAUAAGGCAGGAUUAGACAAAAGGGAGGCGAAUGGAUUGAAAAUCAAAUACAGUGGCAGCGCAAGCAUUCUGGAAAGAAGAAAAUCCCUUCUCCAGAUUAGAACAAUUUCAACUCAUAAGUAUUGUGUCAGGGAAAUGUUAGAUUUGGGGUGCCAGUCGGGUCAUACGUAAACACACAGGAAACAGCCUCUAGUUUUGAUUGUGGUCCUAACUCUCUCUGUUACCCUGGGCAGGGCAGGUAAACUUCAUAUGGCUGUUUCUUGUCUGUGAAAGGACGGACCUGUUAAUGCUUUUCAGUUCCAUCGCUCCAUGGUUCUGCUUCCCCAGUGCCCUCUGAACUUCUAACUCAUAAGAACUGUCUGGGGCGAGUCAUUAACUGAACUCAUAUCUGUGAAGACAUCAGCAAAGCGAGCAACUUCUCAUUGCUAUGGAGGCUCUGUGCGCCACACCAUGAUCUCUUAAUCCCUUCACUUUCCCCCACGGAGGUACCAUGAUACUUUGGAGUUGGGGACCCAGAGACCACAGAUGAAAUUACUGAUCAACAUCAAGUCAGGAGACCCAGAUGGUCUACAUUCAGUUGAUUUGAUCCUUCUUCUCUGUCUUGCUGCAGAGAAAGAGACUUGGCGUGUCAGAAACCUACACACCGUGAUGUUUUCUGCUUUUUAUUAUAUUAGACAAGACUCUGGUUGCAAAUGGAAGAAGACCCACCCAAACCAGGUUAAGAAAAAAGAGAAUUUAUUACUGCAUAUAACUGCAGAGCCAUGGAUAAAAAUAUCUGUAUUAAGAAUAACUAACAUUUAUUAAUCAGUCAAUAUGUGUCAGAUGGUGUUCUAAGCCCUUUAUAUAUGCUAUUAUAUUUAAUUCUCCAGUUAGGAUCAAAUUAAAGUGCCAUUAUUGUCUUAGUCCACUUGUAGUGUUACUACCUUAGACUAGGUAGUUUGUAAAGAACCAAAAUUUAUUUCCUCACUGUUCUGGAGUUUGGAAAGUCCCAGACUGAGGGGUUGGCAACUUGUGAGCACCGUCUUGCUGUAUCUUGGAAGGGAAGAUAUAGGAUUAGAGAGAAAGAAGGCUGACCUGUGGUCCUUUUGUAAGGGACCCUCUUUACAAUAAUGAGCCCACUCCUCUGGUAAUGGGAUUAACCCAUUCAUGAAAGCACUGUGGCUAAGAAACUGCCCAAGGUCACAAUCAGUAUUUAUUUAUUCAUGUCAGUCUGAUUUCAGGAAUCAUGCUCUAGACCCAAGAACCUAAAUACCACUUACUGGACUUGCUCCUUGCCUCCACCCUCAGAACCUUGAUGAUGCUCUCCUGGGUUUUGGCUUCAUUCACAGACUUGUGAUUCCAAUGUCGAAAUUCCUAGCAGCUCCAGGUUUACAUCAUCUUUACCGCUAUACAUCUCAGCACAGCUAACAGCUCUGUCCUUUUCAACUGGCCCAGACUGUCCCAGAACUAUGUCCUUGGCCCAUCAUUUGUCAUACCCCAAUGACCGAGGCAACCACUAUGGCGGAUUGGUUGGAAUAUCUGGAAUGGCAAAGCCUGGGUCAUGUACUAAAUUUUGGCAUCUGGAAAGUUGGAUUGAGAGUGGGUAGAGGGGGAGCCCCAGUAGGAAUCAAGAUACAGAAGAGGAAGUAUGAUUAACAAAAGAAUAGCUCACAAGAGAAUGAGGGUAGAGCAGAUGAACCCACAGAUCUGUAUUCUUCACUUUGAGACCAAAUUCCAUAGUCUUGGUUUGGUGCCACAACACAUCACUGUAGCAAACAAAGAGCCUUGGUUAAGAAGGGGCAUUGCUAAAGUAUAGCCAGCCCCUCUGGACUGCUUUUCCCAUUAAUUGACUGGCAGAAUUGAGUCUAAUUCAAUUCGAUGAGAAAACUUUCACUUUGCCUUUAUUAUAUAGAGGCUCCAGUCUAGAAUUCCUGAGAAAGAAUCCUCAUGGAUCAUAGUUAUGUAUAGCAAGGGAUUAGCAUCUAACUGACAAUAUUGAAGAAUGAACAAAAGAAUACUAAAUAAACCCAAAAUGUGGCAAUAUAAGGACAUGAGAAAAUGUGAAACAAGGAAGUCCGGGAAGGAGAACACCUAAAAGUCAAACUUAGACAAUUGAAUUGACAAUAUUCUUUCUAUAAUGAGUAUUACAAUGAGUAUCUAACAGUGAGGAAUCAGCAAUCCAGAGCCACUUGGAGAGCUCAGGAGAGCUCAGUUCUACUCUUCCCAUGCUUGACACCAUUUUCCAUAAUGCAUAAUGUUUGUUCUCAUAGUUCCUGAUGCUGUUGGACCUUGGUAACCCUUUCCAUGCAGGAAGAAGGAGGAGCAGGUCUGUGGGAGGAGCCAGGGUCUUUUCUAGAUGUCUGCAGUCAAAGCAGCAUUUUCUUCGUGAUUUGAGGAGUGGGCACCUCAGACCAGUGGGAAGUGGAGAAUAACAAGGUGCUGUUAGUACUGGCUUCAUGGUCCGGGGUGGGCACAGCUCUGCUGGGGAGGAGCAUCGAGGCACAGAAAGACAUAGGAACGUUAGGGGAUAUUUGGGAAAUCACAUGUAGAUGGACAGCAGCUCUGUCAUCAGUUGAAUAAAGGGGUUGGGUGUAUUUUCUACCAAAUCAAGAAUUAAGAGGAUGCAAUUGUUAUGUCCACAAAAAUGUAUUUAUCAAACUUUUGGAAAGUAGUAUUGAGAUAGAGUUUCAUGGGGUUUAUGGUUAGACUUUAGAGAUAAUAUUUAUGAAAAAAAAACAGAAAAAAAGGAAAGAUGUGUGGAAAGGCUGGAAAAGGAAGGAAGGAAGGAAGGAAAAAAGAACACAGCAUAAAAAGAAAUAAGGGAAGAGAUAAGUAAAAGCCAGUAUGAUUUCUGCAUUUGUGAAGCACACUGUAAUUGGUAUAAAGAAAAAAAAGAGCUCAAGAAAAAUUAUGAAAUAUGUAGAAUACGUAAUUUAGAAGAAUAUUUUGGGGAUUAGAUACUAUAAUUAUUGCUCCCCAGAGCUUUUUGGAUACCUCAUUUUACUUUAAAUUUGUCUGCAAAAUUGGACCAUAGUUGGUUUUCUCAGUUUACAGAUUAAAGAAAGAAGAUACUUAAUGGAAUGGUGGGAAGUCUCCAUUUAUCUACCUUAUUUGCUCA
Molecule: long non-coding RNA, 3783 nt
Organism: Heterocephalus glaber (naked mole-rat)
Lineage: Eukaryota; Metazoa; Chordata; Mammalia; Rodentia; Bathyergidae
Source: Ensembl